RNAcentral lists this ribosomal RNA (788 nucleotides) under uncultured bacterium. RNAcentral describes it as "bacterial SSU rRNA". It matches the Rfam family "Bacterial small subunit ribosomal RNA", at positions 8 to 796 of the family's 1533-position model. The record is from RNAcentral.
AGAGUUUGAUCCUGGCUCAGAGUUAACGCUGGCGGCGUGCCUAACACAUGCAAGUCGAGCGAAGAGUACCAGAAUAUCGGGCUCUUAGCGGCAGACGGGUGAGUAACACGUAAACUAUUUGCCCUCGAAUGGGAGACAACCUGACGAAAGUUUGGCUAAUACCCCAUACAAUCCUCUCGGAGCAUUCCGAGGGGAUGAAAGGCCCGCAAGGGUCGUUCGAGGAGAAGUUUGCGGCCUAUCAGCUAGUUGGCGGUGUAACGGACCACCAAGGCUAUGACGGGUAGCCGAUCUAAAAGGAUGACCGGCCACAAGGGCACUGAGACACGGGCCCUACUCCUACGGGAGGCAGCAGUGGGGAAUUUUGGACAAUGGACGAAAGUCUGAUCCAGCGACGCCGCGUGAAGGACGAAGGUUUUCGGAUCGUAAACUUCUUUUGCAGGGGACGAAUACGCGCAAGCGUUUGACGGUACUCUGCGAAUAAGCCACGGCUAACUACGUGCCAGCAGCCGCGGUAAUACGUAGGGUGCGAGCGUUAAUCGGAAUUACUGGGCGUAAAGCGUGCGCAGGCGGUUCUAUAAGACAGAUGUGAAAUCCCCGGGCUCAACCUGGGAAUGGCAUUUGUGACUGUAGAGCUAGAGUACGGUAGAGGGGGAUGGAAUUCCGCGUGUAGCAGUGAAAUGCGUAGAGAUGUGGAGGAACACCAAUGGCGAAGGCAGCCCCCUGGGUCGAUACUGACGCUCAUGCACGAAAGCGUGGGUAGCAAACAGGAUUAGAUACCCUGGUAGUCC